AGCAUCAGCAAUAGACUUAGAGAUGGUAUAUAAAGGCCCUCUGUCCUAAAUAUCACCACAACUUGCUUGACCAUAUCAACGGACAGUGGAUCAGUACUGAAAAUGGGAAAGGUAAGAUUAUGUCACAAAAUGAUUAAUAUCUUACUGCAGAGGAAUUAUUUGUUAAAUUACAAACAAAGAGUUAAUAUUUCAAAGACAUGCUUUCAAUAAAAACAUAGGGACAUAGUAAAAUGGCUGCCAUUAACUGUCACUAUUAACAGCUGAUAGUCUGAAGUGGCUAAAAAUUGCCAUAAUAUUUCUAGCCUUGUAGCUAAAUUUUAGUAACACUUUCACUAAUAGCAGCUGCUGCGGCAGGUAUCAACCAGUCUUAUAUUAGUCUCUUGCUGGUAAAGCAAAGAAACACAUACCAGUAAAUUCACACUAGCUUCUUUAUGAACAGUAGUGACAGGUGAGAUUUAGCUGUCUUUAACCACUUUACUCCAAGCUAGAGGUAAUGGGAGCCACUAGUGACUACUUAUUGACUUGUGAAACUUCUCGGUCAGGAACUGCUCGUGAGGAGUUGCAACAUGCUACAAAGUAUUGACAAAAUUGCGAGAAGAUGUGAGUGGAUAAAAAGUUAAAAAAUGUAGGUAAAAUAACAGAAAAAAAAAUACUAUUCUUACUUCUUUCUGUACCUAUAUCUAGGUUCAGUUUAAAAGAAACCUUUUUUUUUUUUUCAUCUAUCUGCAGUUUAUUACUAAAGAAGUUCACUAUUAACUUUAACUUUCACUUUCCACUGGGAUAAAUCAUGAAAUUAGCCCUGGAACUUAGUUUGAGAUUGGUAAUAUUGAGUAUACCAAUCUCAAACUUAACGGACAUUAGAUAGCUAAUAUAAUGCUGGCUGCAGUAAGGGGGGAUAAUAGGAGCAUGGCAUUUCAGUAAUAUGAUUUAAAUUACUGCUAUGCCCCAGAUGUGUCUCACUCCCUGUCCCAACCUCUUUUUCUCUUGGUACCUGCCAAAGGACACGAGUAUGGAAAUAGAUGAAUGCGCUGCAAAACAAAAGAAGAAUACAUUACUUUAUAACCUAAUAUAUACAGUAAUCAAAUCAGCAUUACAUUAUAUUUGGCAAUAAACAGCACAAUGGGCUUUUCAUGUUAUAAUUGUAAAUCCAAAGCCCCAGAAUUAAACCCAUCGUCAUAGCUUUAGUGAUUAUAUCAUAUAUACAUUUGUGUAAUAGUCGAGCCCUUGUGAUCCUUGUUAUUUAUUAUGUUUGAUGCACUGCUGGCAACUAAAAAAAAUGUAUAAUAUAUAUUAAAAUUUAUAUAUAUAUUCUAAUGUGUAAUUCCAUUCAUAGAUUGUCUUCUACGAGGAUCGUAACUUUCAGGGACGCUCUUAUGAGUGCAGCUCUGAGUGUCAAGAUUUGACCUCAUAUUUUAAUCGUUGCAAUUCCAUCCGAGUGGAAAGUGGAAACUGGAUCCUGUAUGAGCACCCAAACUAUAGAGGACACCAGUAUUACCUUAGCAGGGGAGAAUAUCCUAAUUUCCAGAAAUGGAUGGGUUUCAAUGAUUCCAUCAGAUCUUGUCGUGUUAGCCCACAGGUAAAUACUUUUACCAGAGCAGUUAAGAAUUUUACAAAAAUAUUUUUAAAGAUGCACCCCCAAAAGAGCAUUCUUGGUUCCAAUCUAUGAUUAAUAAAGGUAUAACUUUUGAAAUUAUAACCUUGUUUUUUUGAAAAACAUUUUAAAUGUAUGUAUGUAAUGUUUUCUUAAUCAACUAAGUCAGCACUUACUUUCAUGGCCACAAGAGGGUCAGUGUCAAAAUUACACUCUCGGUGUAGGUUCUAGAUAUUCACAUGAAAUUAUGCAAGACUUUGUCAUACUAUCCGUGAAUUAUAAAUAUUUUUUAAUCUCAUAAAGCACCAUGGAUCAUUCAGAGUGAAGGUCUAUGAGAGGGAUGAUUUCAGAGGUCAGAUGAUGGAGUUCACUGAAGAUUGUCCUAAUACUCAUGAAAGAUUCCAUUACCAUGACAUCAACUCCUGCCAGGUGCUUGAUGGUUACUGGAUGUUCUAUGAGGACCCAAAUUUUAGGGGCCGACAGUAUUACCUGAAAUCUGGAGAGUACAGAAGAUAUUCUGACUGGGGUGCCAUGAACCCAAGAAUUGGCUCAUUCAGGAGACUCCACCAUUUCUAAUAUGUUAUAUAAAUUAAUGAAAUUACAUGUUAUUUAUAAUUCAAUAAACAAAUUAAACAGUUA
Molecule: non-coding RNA, 2230 nt
Organism: Pelobates cultripes (western spadefoot toad)
Lineage: Eukaryota; Metazoa; Chordata; Amphibia; Anura; Pelobatidae
Source: the annotation of a GenBank genome assembly